Molecule: ribosomal RNA, 931 nt
Filed under: uncultured bacterium
Lineage: Bacteria
Description: bacterial SSU rRNA
Rfam family: Bacterial small subunit ribosomal RNA
Source: RNAcentral
AGGAUGAACGCUGGCGGCAUGCCUAAGACAUGCAAGUCGUACGCGAAGGCCUAAUGAUUACUACGGAAGAUUGGAGAGCUUGCUCAAAGAUUGGAAGUAGUAAGAUUUAGAUCACCUUCGAGUGGCAAACGGGUGAGUAACACGUGGGUUACCUGCCUCUAGGUUGGGGAUAACGGUUGGAAACGAUCGAUAAUACCGAAUAUGCUCUACGGAGUAAAGAAGCCCUUAAAGCUUCGCCAAGAGAUGGGCCUGCGGCGUAUUAGCUAGUUGGUGGGGUAAUGGCCUACCAAGGCAACGAUACGUAGCCGAACUGAGAGGUUAAUCGGCCACACUGGGACUGAGACACGGCCCAGACUCCUACGGGAGACAGCAGUUAGGAAUAUUCGUCAAUGGGGGAAACCCUGAACGAGCAAUGCCGCGUGAGUGAUGACGGUCCUUUGAAUUGUAAAACUCUGUUGUUAAGGAAAAAUGAUAAGUAUAGGAAAUGAUACUUAUUUGAUGGUACUUUUCAAGAAAGCCACGGCUAACUACGUGCCAGCAGCCGCGGUAAUACGUAGGUGGCGAGCGUUAUCCGGAUUUAUUGGGCGUAAAGCGUGCGCAGACGGUUUGUUAAGUUUGAAAUCAAAGCCUGGAGCUUAACUCCAGUUAGUUUCAAAAACUGGCAGGCUAGAGUGUGGUAGAGGCAAAUGGAAUUUCUAGUGUAGCGGUAAAAUGCGUAGAUAUUAGAAGGAACACCAGUGGCGAAGGCGAUUUGCUGGGCCAUUACUGACGUUCAUGCACGAAAGCGUGGGGAGCAAAUAGGAUUAGAUACCCUAGUAGUCCACGCCGUAAACGAUGAGUACUAAGUGUCGGGAAACCGGUGCUGAAGUUAACACAUUAAGUACUCCGCCUGAGUAGUACGGUCGCAAGGCUGAAACUCAAAUGAAUUGAC